Molecule: ribosomal RNA, 462 nt
Filed under: uncultured bacterium
Lineage: Bacteria
Description: partial 16S ribosomal RNA
Rfam family: Bacterial small subunit ribosomal RNA
Source: RNAcentral
GAUGAACGCUGACAGAAUGCUUAACACAUGCAAGUCAUUGGCGAAGCUGCGCUUGCGCAGUCUAGCCAAGGCGGACGGGUGAGUAACGCGUAAGGAACUUGCCCUGCAGACAGGGAUAACAGACGGAAACGACUGAUAACACCUGGUAUUGUCAGGCUGGCGCAUGCCGGCCUGAUGAAAGGAGACGCUGCAGGAGAGCCUUGCGUCCUAUUAGCUAGUUGGUGGGGUAACGGCCCACCAAGGCGAUGAUAGGUAGCCGGCCUGAGAGGGUGAACGGCCACAAGGGGACUGAGAUACGGCCCUUACUCCUACGGGAGGCAGCAGUGGGGAAUAUUGGACAAUGGGGGCAACACUGAUCCAGCAAUUCUGUGUGCACGAAGAAGGUUUUCGGAUUGUAAAGUGCUUUCAGCAGGGAAGAAGAAAGUGACGGUACCUGCAGAAGAAGCGACGGCUAAAUACGUG